This 1065-nucleotide ribosomal RNA is filed under the name Escherichia coli. RNAcentral describes it as "partial 23S ribosomal RNA". It matches the Rfam family "Bacterial large subunit ribosomal RNA", at positions 609 to 1676 of the family's 2925-position model. The record is from RNAcentral. Lineage: Bacteria; Pseudomonadati; Pseudomonadota; Gammaproteobacteria; Enterobacterales; Enterobacteriaceae.
UGUAUAAUGGGUCAGCGACUUAUAUUCUGUAGCAAGGUUAACCGAAUAGGGGAGCCGAAGGGAAACCGAGUCUUAACUGGGCGUUAAGUUGCAGGGUAUAGACCCGAAACCCGGUGAUCUAGCCAUGGGCAGGUUGAAGGUUGGGUAACACUAACUGGAGGACCGAACCGACUAAUGUUGAAAAAUUAGCGGAUGACUUGUGGCUGGGGGUGAAAGGCCAAUCAAACCGGGAGAUAGCUGGUUCUCCCCGAAAGCUAUUUAGGUAGCGCCUCGUGAACUCAUCUCCGGGGGUAGAGCACUGUUUCGGCAAGGGGGUCAUCCCGACUUACCAACCCGAUGCAAACUGCGAAUACCGGAGAAUGUUAUCACGGGAGACACACGGCGGGUGCUAACGUCCGUCGUGAAGAGGGAAACAACCCAGACCGCCAGCUAAGGUCCCAAAGUCAUGGUUAAGUGGGAAACGAUGUGGGAAGGCCCAGACAGCCAGGAUGUUGGCUUAGAAGCAGCCAUCAUUUAAAGAAAGCGUAAUAGCUCACUGGUCGAGUCGGCCUGCGCGGAAGAUGUAACGGGGCUAAACCAUGCACCGAAGCUGCGGCAGCGACGCUUAUGCGUUGUUGGGUAGGGGAGCGUUCUGUAAGCCUGUGAAGGUGUACUGUGAGGUAUGCUGGAGGUAUCAGAAGUGCGAAUGCUGACAUAAGUAACGAUAAAGCGGGUGAAAAGCCCGCUCGCCGGAAGACCAAGGGUUCCUGUCCAACGUUAAUCGGGGCAGGGUGAGUCGACCCCUAAGGCGAGGCCGAAAGGCGUAGUCGAUGGGAAACAGGUUAAUAUUCCUGUACUUGGUGUUACUGCGAAGGGGGGACGGAGAAGGCUAUGUUGGCCGGGCGACGGUUGUCCCGGUUUAAGCGUGUAGGCUGGUUUUCCAGGCAAAUCCGGAAAAUCAAGGCUGAGGCGUGAUGACGAGGCACUACGGUGCUGAAGCAACAAAUGCCCUGCUUCCAGGAAAAGCCUCUAAGCAUCAGGUAACAUCAAAUCGUACCCCAAACCGACACAGGUGGUCAGGUAGAG